RNAcentral lists this ribosomal RNA (371 nucleotides) under uncultured organism. Its description in RNAcentral is "bacterial SSU rRNA". It matches the Rfam family "Bacterial small subunit ribosomal RNA", at positions 526 to 896 of the family's 1533-position model. The record is from RNAcentral.
CAGAGGGUGCAAGCGUUAAUCGGAAUUACUGGGCGUAAAGCGUGCGUAGUCGGUUAUUUAAGUCGGGCGUGAAAGCCCCGGGCUCAACCUGGGAAUUGCGUUCGAUACUGGAUAGCUAGAGUUCGGCAGAGGGAAGCGGAAUUUCGGGUGUAGCGGUGAAAUGCGUAGAUAUCCGAAGGAACAUCAGUGGCGAAAGCGGCUUCCUGGACCAGAACUGACGAUCAGGCACGAAAGCGUGGGGAGCAAACAGGAUUAGAUACCCUGGUAGUCCACGCCAUAAACGAUGACAACUAGACGUUGGGAGGGUAAGCCUCACAGUGUCGCAGCUAACGCGUUAAGUUGUCCGCCUGGGGAGUACGGCCGCAAGGUUG